UAUCCGAAAGACUCUCGGCAACGGAUAUCUCGGCUCUUGCAUCGAUGAAGAACGUAGCGAAAUGCGAUACUUGGUGUGAAUUGCAGAAUCCCGUGAACCAUCGAGUCUUUGAACGCAAGUUGCGCCCGAAGCCAUUAGGCCGAGGGCACGCCUGCCUGGGUGUCGCCC
This 168-nucleotide ribosomal RNA is filed under the name Leobordea hirsuta. Its description in RNAcentral is "5.8S ribosomal RNA". It matches the Rfam family "5.8S ribosomal RNA". From Rfam's summary of the family: 5.8S ribosomal RNA (5.8S rRNA) is a component of the large subunit of the eukaryotic ribosome. The record is from RNAcentral. Lineage: Eukaryota; Viridiplantae; Streptophyta; Magnoliopsida; Fabales; Fabaceae.